Acanthosepion pharaonis is the source of this 101-nucleotide non-coding RNA. The record is from the annotation of a GenBank genome assembly. Lineage: Eukaryota; Metazoa; Mollusca; Cephalopoda; Sepiida; Sepiidae.
UUGGAACACCGGUUCCCACACGAUCACUGAAGUUAAGCAACGUCGAGCAUGGUAAGUCCCUAGAUGGGCGGCGACCGCUUGUGAUUACUAAGUGCUGUAAG